Molecule: ribosomal RNA, 499 nt
Filed under: uncultured bacterium
Lineage: Bacteria
Description: partial 16S ribosomal RNA
Rfam family: Bacterial small subunit ribosomal RNA
Source: RNAcentral
ACUCAAAGGAAUAGACGGGGGCCCGCACAAGCGGUGGAGCAUGUGGUUUAAUUCGACGCAACGCGCAGAACCUUACCCGGGUUUGACAUCCAUGGAAUCCUGCAGAGAUGUGGGAGUGCCCGCAAGGGAACCAUGAGACAGGUGCUGCAUGGCUGUCGUCAGCUCGUGUCGUGAGAUGUUGGGUUAAGUCCCGCAACGAGCGCAACCCUCGCCUUUAGUUGCCAGCAUUCAGUUGGGCACUCUAGAGGGACUGCCGGUGUCAAGCCGGAGGAAGGUGGGGAUGACGUCAAGUCCUCAUGGCCUUUAUGCCCGGGGCUACACACGUGCUACAAUGGCCGGUACAAAGGGCUGCAUAGGCGCGAGCCGAAGCCAAUCCCAGAAAACCGGUCCCAGUUCGGAUUGAAGUCUGCAACUCGACUUCAUGAAGUCGGAAUCGCUAGUAAUCGCGGAUCAGAACGCCGCGGUGAAUACGUUCCCGGGCCUUGUACACACCGCCCGU